RNAcentral lists this ribosomal RNA (434 nucleotides) under uncultured Lachnospiraceae bacterium. RNAcentral's name for it is "partial 16S ribosomal RNA". It matches the Rfam family "Bacterial small subunit ribosomal RNA", at positions 341 to 792 of the family's 1533-position model. Lineage: Bacteria; Bacillati; Bacillota; Clostridia; Lachnospirales; Lachnospiraceae. The record is from RNAcentral.
ACGGGAGGCAGCAGUGGGGGAUAUUGCACAAUGGGGGAAACCCUGAUGCAGCGACGCCGCGUGAGUGAAGAAGUAUUUCGGUAUGUAAGGCUCUAUCAGCAGGAAAGAAAAUGACGGUACCUGACUAAGAAGCCCCGGCUAACUACGUGCCAGCAGCCGCGGUAAUACGUAGGGGGCAAGCGUUAUCCGGAUUUACUGGGUGUAAAGGGAGCGUAGACGGCUUUGCAAGUCUGAAGUGAAAGCCCGGGGCUCAACCCCGGAACUGCUUUGGAAACUGUAGAGCUAGAGUGCAGGAGAGGUAAGUGGAAUUCCUAGUGUAGCGGUGAAAUGCGUAGAUAUUAGGAGGAACACCAGUGGCGAAGGCGGCUUACUGGACUGUAACUGACGUUGAGGCUCGAAGGCGUGGGGAGCAAACAGGAUUAGAUACCCUGGUA